Hyphomonas sp. L-53-1-40 is the source of this 373-nucleotide non-coding RNA. It matches the Rfam family "Bacterial RNase P class A". From Rfam's summary of the family: Ribonuclease P (RNase P) is a ubiquitous endoribonuclease, found in archaea, bacteria and eukarya as well as chloroplasts and mitochondria. Its best characterised activity is the generation of mature 5'-ends of tRNAs by cleaving the 5'-leader elements of precursor-tRNAs. Cellular RNase Ps are ribonucleoproteins. The record is from Rfam. Lineage: Bacteria; Pseudomonadati; Pseudomonadota; Alphaproteobacteria; Hyphomonadales; Hyphomonadaceae.
CCAGACGGCCGGGCAGCCGCUGGUACGCGGGUAACUGCGUACUGGAGGAAAGUCCGGGCUCCAGGGAAACAGGGCGACGGCUAACGGCCGCCCGGCGUGAGCCGAGGGAAAGUGCCACAGAAAGCAAACCGCCUCCCCCUCGGGAGAGGUAAGGGUGAAAGGGUGGGGUAAGAGCCCACCGCAGGCCUGGCGACAGGACUGGCACGGUAAACCCCGCCCGGAGCAAGACCGAAUAGGGGGCACAUAUGGGCUGUUUCACGCCCGUGCCCCGGGUGUGUCGCGUGAGGUGCCUGGCAACAGGCAUCCCAGAGGAAUGGCUGCCGGACCGUGGCAACACGGCGAACAGAACCCGGCUUACAGGCCGUCUGGUCUU